UCGAGAUAAACAAGACGCAUUCUAUCACAAGCCGUUCCCGCCAAGAAAAAAAGUGUAGCACCGAUAAAUCCAUGAGAUAAUAUUUGUAAAAUAGCUCCAUUUAGUCCAAUGUUGGUUAUGGAACCAAUUCCUAUAAUUAUGAAACCCAUGUGAGAUACGGAGGAGUAGGCUAUUCUUUUUUUGAAAUUUCGUUGACCAAGAGAAGUUGAAGCUGCAUAGAUUAUUUGCACCGCUCCUAUUAUUACCAACCAAGGGGAAAAUAGAUAAUGAGCAUGCGGUAACAAUUCCAUAUUGACCUGAAUCAAUCCGUAUGCUCCCAUCUUUAAUAGAAUUCCGGCUAAAAGCAUACAUGUACUGUAAUGCGCUUCCCCAUGGGUAUCUGGUAACCACGUAUGUAAAGGUAUAAUCGGCAAUUUGACAGCAUAAGCAAUAAGGAAGCCAAAAUAUAGUUUCAUACAGAGGAAAAAGUUCUCUAUUGAUGCAAACGCUGUACCUAGAGGAUAGGGAUAGAGGAAGAGGGAAAAUCGAAAUGAAAUAAAUAAAGAAUAAAGCCAAAAAAAUAAGUCGAAGAUAGAAGAGCCCAGAUUCAAAAUGAAGAAAUGGAAACUCGAAAAGGAUCCUUCUGAUUCUCAAAGAAUGAGGGGCAAGGGGAUUGAUACCGAGAAAGAUUUCUUCUUAUUAUAAGACGUGAUUUGAUCCGCAUAUGGAUGUUAAUAGUAAGCAAGAAGAUUGUUUAUGAAGAAACAACAAGAAAAAUUCAUAUUCUGAUACAUAAGAGUUACAUAGGAAUCGAAAUAGUCUUUUAUUUUCUUUUUUCAAAAGAAAAAUGGAUUUCAUUGAAGUAAUAAAACUAUUCCAAUUCGAAUAAUAGUGGAGAAAGAAUCGCAAUAAAUGUAAAGAGGGAACAUCUUGAAUCCGGUAUUCAAGGAGUUGAACCAGGAUUUCUAAAUGGAUAGGAUAGGGUAUUUUUAUAUGUGAAAGAAGUGUAUCCACGGCUUCUUGUACCAAUUUUUCCUGGCACAUUACUAAAUCUGCUGGUGCUAAUUCACUUAUUUUUAAUAGAUAGGCAAGGUUGUUGUUCCGACGGAUAACUCUCUUAUAAAGUUCAUUAAUAUCUGAAGUCACUACUUUAUCCCCAGAUCUAUAAACAAUGGGUCUCAAUUCGGGAGGAAGAACCGGUAAUAAGCACAAAACCAUCCAUUCUGGUUCUACAUUUGUUUGAAUAAAAUGUUUCGCCAAUUGCAUGCGUCUAAUCAAAAAAACUUUUCUUAUUCGUCUUUUUCUAUCUUCCCAUUCAUCUCCACUAUACCCAAUGUCUUUUCUGCACAAAAGAACCCCUCCUAAUUCACUAAUUUGUAUCCUAAUUCACUAAUUUGUAGGAAGAUACUGAACUUUUGGAUUCCUAAUUCACUAAUUUGUAGGAAGAUACUGAACUUUUGGAUUUGAAAAAAGUUUCAGAAGAUAUAUCUAAAGUAGAUGGUGAUUGAUAGAGCAAUUCUUGUUCGUAAGUUCCAGUGUGAGUACUGCGCCGAACAUAAUAACGGCUGUUAAUUAGUAAGACAUGCUGUGUAAGUUUCUUACAAGGGUCAUUUAUUUACCGCUGGAGGUAAUAUCGACACUUUUAGGCAGUGCACACAAGUAAAGCCACUCGCAAGUGCUGUAUAUAUAUACGUACUUUUAGGAAGGAAAACGUAGCAGCAUAAACAGUACACGGACCAAGUUACCGUAUCACACGUACAAAUUCACCCCACAAGUACAGGAAACUGUCCCUGUCCCUGUCCCUGUCACAUGAUCAAAGGGUAGGGACACUUAUUCAUGGGUUUAUCUUAUUAUCUAUGGAACGCUGAAGAGUACGGCUUUGACGCGCCAGCACAGCACAGCACAGCCACGUAUAGGCGCCGCUCAGUGCUGUCCGGGCAGCUUCUCCUUGAUCUUGUCCAUAAUGCCUUUCUUCUCGCCGGUGCCCUCGGUGCCGGUGGCGUAGGCGCCGCCGGUGUGUCCCUGCUGCCCGUAGGCGCUGCCGGUGUGUCCCUGCUGCCCAUAGGCGCCGCCGGUCGUCGCCGUGGCGUGCUGGUCGUCCUUGUGGCCUCCGGGCAGCUUCUCUUUGAUCUUCUCCUUGAUUCCCUUCUUCCUCCUUCCGCCCAUGCCGUCGUCCUCCGACUUAAACACGAAACCCACGGAUUAAAUUAAUUGAUUAUUACUAAGCCUAACUCAUGUAUUAUUAUAUAUAGGACGAAGCAGCGCGCACACAAAAGAAAGAAGUAUCCAGAGUCGUAAUUACCGAGCUGGAGCUGGAGCUGCCGGAGCGAUGCAGGAUGCCGCCGGUCUUGUGCUCCUCCCUCGCAGGCUGGAACUGCCCGCCACCCAUGCCAGCGCCGCCGUGCUCACCCAGCUGGCCCAUGCCGCCGGUGGUUCCCGUGCCGUGCCUCAUGCCGCCGGUGCCGUGCUCGACGCCGCCGACUGGGUUGCCGUACUGGUCGACAUGGCCCGUGGCGCCGUGGCCGCGCUGCCCCUGCUGACCGUACUCCAUGAUGCUUGCACGGCUUGGUGGUUUGUGGUUUCUCCUAAACGAGUCUUCGUGCUUGUGUGCUCGAUCGUGUUCUCGAUGUGGCUCGCCGGUGGUGAAGCAGGUGACGGUCGAUGCCGCCAUUUAUAGGCAGCAGAAGUGCAGAACGGCGAAAGGAUUAGGAUCUGGGCGCGCCACGGCAGGGGUGUACGUGGGCAUGCAUGAGUGGAUUGGGCGGCCAGUGAGGGAACAGCACGUACACGUACGCCGGCGGGACGUGUGCAGUCGCUGGUGCCGUGCGUCGGUGGCCCGGCCCGCCACGUCUCGGUUCUUCUCGAAAGUUGGGUACGCGGAUUUUACCGGUGCUCAUCCAUUAUUCAAUGCAGGCGGUCGGUCAGGCUGAAUUUAGGCCCAGUACACCCAAGUGUAGGCGCAGCAGAAAAGUCCAGAGCGAACUGCAUAACAUUUUAAAAUACAUUAAAAUUCAUAAAAUAUAUUAAAAGAAGAGAAAACAUUAAAAAGUAAAAUGAUAAUUCGAUAAUGCCAACUAUUUUAAAACAGGAGGGUAUAGUAUCUCAGGAGUACCAAUUAGGACAUGUUUGUUAAUGCAAUUUUAAAAUACUAUAGUUUUGAAAUAUUAUAGUUUAUAAUUAUAUAUAAUAUAAAUAUUACAGUACUAUCUUAUCACAGUAAAAUCAAAGUAUUGCUUAGAAUUAAGAUUUGUUUGGCUCCAUUAAAAAACCAAAAUAUAUGUAAGAGAAAAGAAAAAAAACUAAGGUUCUAAGUGUAGUUUCUACAACUCUAAAAAUAGUAUAGUUUUGAAUAAAUCAUAGUAUCUGAAACUAUAUUUUACAUAUACCGGCCAAACAUCUUGUUGCCAUCAAUAUCACAGUAUCGUUAAAUAUUGUAGUAUUGAUUCAAAACUAUAAAAAUAAUACACUGACCCUUAGCAUGCACGCAUUGCAUAUGCAUGCAUAUAUGACCGUUCUAGCUGCUCCUUCUGUUACAAGGCAAAUAUAUAUCUCACUUCUUAAAAGACAAACCUUUUAAAUUUAUAAUUAAAAAUACAGAAAAAUAUUAAUAUUUGUAUCUGUAAAUAAAUUUUACAGAAAUAAAUUCUACGCUCAAUCUAAUAAAACUUAUUAAACUAAUGAUUAAAUUAUAUAUGUAUUUUAUGUGAACACUCAAUCUAUACUAUUAAGAAUUUAAUGUAGGCACAUGUGGACCCCACGCCUCCAGCCCCCACGCACCAGCUAUUGUGCUACCCAGCACCUGAUCCUGCCGCGCAAAAAUAGUGCAAAGCGAGUACUUUAGAACUGACCACCAGACCACAUGUACCUUAGUUUUUAAAAAUAAACAAUAAUUAUAUUUUAAUAAAUUUCGCAAUACCUAUUUAUAUGAUAUAUAACAACUCGUAGCAAAGCACGAGCCACAACUAUCUAGUAAGCUUAGAGUAUAUAUUCAAGAGCUCCCAAAAAAUAACUUCUAAAAACAUGUUUUUAAUAGCCUCCUGUAAUUUAUUAGGAGAUGAUUUUGACCUUGUCUUCAGCAGUUCUCCUAAAAAUAGGCGUAAAAUAUUUUAAACUGGGUAAUAGAUGAGCCUCGAACCUAUAUUGAUAUAUUUUUAUCACCGAGGAAUUGUUUACCUUGUGCAGCUUGCCUGAGACCUAACGUGCGCCGCCACCGAGUCUACACUACCAUGUAUGACUUGUCUCGAUUUGUGUACCAGCACGAUGUCAAGGGUGAUGGCAGAGGCGUAGAGCAUGUUGGGCACCUUGCCCAAGCCAGGGACGCCCUCCGUCGGCCGCUUGGUCGCCAGCGCUAGCGCCGGCGCCGCGGCGGCACCGCCACAGUAAUGAACAACUUCAUGUUGAUCGAGCAUCGCAAGUCUCGGCGGCACCGCCACAGUAAUGAACAACUUCAUGUUGAUCGAGCAUCGCAAGUCUCACGCAAUACAUAUUGGACACCUUGCUUUAUUCCACCUGUUUGACGUAAUGCAGCCAUGGGGUAUUGCUUUUUACAUAUGAAUUGAGGCUCUUUGUUGCAACAGGAAAUCGAUUCGUCCUCUGUGAUGAAGGUGAGUCGAUGAUCAGUUUCUUUUGGGAGGGUCACAAAUUUUACAUGAAUAUGUCAACAAACCGAAACAUGGUUCUAUCCCUGAUCAUCAAGUCGUUCGUCGUAAGAGAGAAUUAGGACACUGUAGAUUAUAUGAGGAUUACUUCUCAGAUGAUCCAACAUACAUACCAUAAUUCUUUAGACGGAGGUUUGUUAUUCAUUCAACUCAUUUUUUUAUUUAGUAGUGCCAUAUCUGAUAUAAUACCAAACUAGGUGAGUGCCCGUGCGUUGCGACGGGAGUAAAAAAGUUUGUAUGAAACAUAGAAACGGAACGAUAAACAUCACUAUGAUAUACAAAAUCUGUAUGUUAAACAUUAUCAAUAUCACACAAAUUAUUUCUAAAGAUCGGAAAAGGAGAAACAAAUAUGACGACACUCUUUCUCCUAAAUAUUUGCAAAAUAUCUACCAACUAACCUUUUCUAAGAUCCCAAACACAAUUUCAUUUCACUUUUCCAUCAUCUCGGACCUUGUGUGCACAAGGAGGUAAGGGCCUUCCGAGCAUCAAGUCUCACGCAUGAACUUCAAAGGAGCAGCAACCAUAAUUAAGAAUAGUGAGGAACAAAGGACCAGCAUUCAUAUUUAAGAACAGUGAGGAACAAAACAUGAUUCAACAAAAAAUUAAAACAGCCUCAGCGAGUCGAGCCAUCUCGUAAUGGCGCUUGUCCUUGAUGUCCAGAGAAUAUUUCAUUUAGUAAUCUGUUUUCUUGAAUUCUUAUAACUAUGUAGCCAGCCUAAUAAAACAAGUAGGCAAAACCUUCCCAUGUUUUAUGUUUAAUAAUUAUGACCACAAGUCACAACAUCCACUUUUUAUUAGAAUCAUGUAGCUCUGUAUUAAUGAUGUGACAUGUAUAUGCUUGGAUGACACUGCAGUCUAAUCCUUGUGGCAUGCUGACAACACCUGGGCAAAGUCUUCAAAUCUAAGAAUUCCAUUGUGUUUUGUAUCAAAUAAGUCAAAUACCUACAAGAAAAAUGACAAUGGUUAUUACGUGACUCUUUUUCAUUGGACAAGUUAGUGACAUAAGAACACAACAGGCAUAAAUGAUUAUUUGUAUUAAAAGUUCUGAUUGGCAGACCUGUAGUAAAGCAAAGAAUAUGUGUGUUCAUGUGGAUUGAAUGCAAGUGAUUAUAAGUAUGAACUGUGUAGGCAUCUCUAUGUAAUCUGUUAGAAUACUAAGUGCUACAACGACCCAUCAGUUUUACUAAACCUACUCCAUUCUCAGCACUCACGUGAGCUGAAUCAACGACGAUGUCAUGUGAAUUAAUCCAGAUCGGUAGAACUUCCAAGCAAAGAAAAUAGCCAAAGGGUCAGAAAUAAAAAAAGAGGAUUCUGCGUACCUAAACCAAUCGAUGAUGCAGAGACAGCUCUCACAGGGAGUUAAGUGUGGACGAAGUACAGGACCAGGGCUGAUAUGUCUCCUGCAGCCAAGGAUUUCUGGCUUCCACUCUUUUAUCCCAUUACACUACUAGCUAAAGAAUUCAAAGACACAACAAUCAGUUCCUCUUAUUUUCUUAUUUAUUGCCACCUUGGCAGGAUCAGUCAGCGAUGAAAUCUUGCGUUCCAAGAUACAGUCAGACAUAAUAAAGCAGUAAAAUAGGUGAAUCUAAAACACAUAAGUAAAUAUUGCAAUACUUGGCUGGCGAAGCGAGGUUGUGCCAGGAAUCCAUACAUUCUAUUAGUUUGACAACCAUAAUAAACACGGAGAAAGAUGAACCCGCAAACUGGAAAGUAUAUAAACUUGGGAAGACAGCUGAGAAGAAACAUAUAUAAGUAUUGUUAUUCCAGUUAGAAAGUAAAAUCAACCCUCAAUGAUUUCUUUAGAAAAAACAGCAUGGCACAAGGAUUUGUUGCUACUCUCUUUACCUUUUUCAGUUUCACAAUUGGAACAUUAAUAGAUGUGGCCAGUGACCCAACUUCCUAUGGCCACACAUGACUAAGGUUCAACUUCUGUCACCCAAACUUUGAAAAUGAAUUUCUAGAUAUUUCUUGCAUUUCGCUCAUGAGCCAUUGGAUCACUCAUAACAUCUAUGAAGUCUCAACCAAGGCUAAUGAUGUUCACUACUGUAGAUGGGAGGUAAGAAAAAUAAAAAAUUGUAGGACUUGCAUUAGAUGCAAAUCUGAUCUAAUAUAAUUUAAAGCAUGACUAAUCAACUAAAAAGAACAAAUCAGCAGGAAAAGUUCACUGAUUUCUAAAGAUAAAAAUGAAAAUUUAAGCAGUCAGCUAAUAGUAUAAGUAAUCUCGGUUUGGACCUUUCAUGUUCAUCUGAACCUGAGACCACCAAAGGUAAACUCCAAUCAAAUUCAUCUUCAAGAAUAAGUUUACUCUUGAGCAUUGUCUUGUGUUUUGUAUCCCAAUGUAUCUUAUCAUAGAAACGAUCAGGUUAACAUGUUCGAAUAACUUGACAAAUGCAGUGAAAUACAUAAUGAACACAUCAGCCAAUCGAAAAUGGGAUAGUCUCAUGACAGAGAGAAGCAUUAAAACUGGUACACCGGGCAAAUAUUAGAUACCUUUGUAGGCAGUUACAGUCAGGGAACAAUUGCUAAGUAGCAUCAUCUCCUGCCAAUCAACUUCAAUCCCGUUGUAAUCCAGCCACACCCAUCCUUGUCACGUUCCACCUGAUAAAUCGCCAUGACACAAAUGCUUACCUGUUGGCCAUAACCUGUGCUGCUUAUGGCGUCAGAAGCAUCCAUUCCAUUAUUAUAUUUAUAUUAUAUAUGGCAUCAAUUUAUAUCCGCAUAGAAAUUUGAAUUAAAGAGAUGUAGCAAGGUACCUAAGCCCAGCAGGGGUGACACAGAAUCAGUGCAGUAGAGUUCGGAGUCUUUUGUCAACUCUGGUGAAACAGAACAUGUGUAUCAUAACGUAAGAAAAAAGAUCAUCUUCUGCACCAAACCAAUCAGCUCUUGGCUCAAAUAUAGUGAAAAACACUCCACUAAAGCUAAAUAAACUAAAGAACUGCAUCCAUAAAUGUUUCAUUCAAAUAAGAAAUACUUGAAACAUCUCAUCUUCAUGCCCACGAAACAAGAAACAUCAGUUUCAGGGAUACAAAACAUAAAUGCACUCACCGCAUACAAAAUUUCAAGUGACAUAGUGAAGCUUAUGUACCAAGACAUAACAAGUUACACAUUUGGAGGGGGGCUUGUGCUUUAGGAAUAAGAAACAAAAAGAACCAUGAGUCUGAAUAUGUGGCUAUUACUUCAGGCAUAUGUAAACCUCAAAUAGAAAAUAGAACACAAUAUUUUUCAUAAUCUUGACGAACCAAACCAGAAUCAUUUAACUCAAAAUCACGGCAUAGAAGAUUUUGAGUUUUUUAUCACACCAGAUAAAAAUCAUGGCAACGAGAAAAAAGAUGAACAACUAUUAGUAGGUUAUGGCGCUAUUCUAAAAAAGAUUAAGAACGUACCUAAAAGAAGCUUUAGAAAAACUGAGUGAGAUAUCAACUUACCACAUUUGCCUCAUAGGGUUGUUCCUUCAUAUCUUCUGCCCUUAAAUACUCUAACUCAUUGACAUUGCAACUGGUCAGUCUCACAAUUCCGGCCAUAGGAUCUUGCUGUCAAAAUAAUAGCAUGGCCUAAGAACAGAUCUUAGCUAGAUGUCCACGUCUGACGCUGACACUUGUGCAUCAGGUGAAUCAAAAAAAAGAUGUGAAAUCAAAUGAAGGAACAAAGCUCAGUUAGAUGAGAGUUUCACUACAUAGAACGUAGAGAAUAGGUUCAAUUUAAAGGAACAGAGUUUCUCUGCAUUUGGAAAAGUUAAAAGGGGCGAUGACUGACGAUUCUUCCUAGCCACGCUACAGGAACAUAGAAAAAUAUAUAUGCCAUCGCACUCUCCUCUUCUUGGUCCUUGUGCUUCUCUCCAGAUCCUCCCCUCUCGUCGUUGUCAUCCCACCACACCAUCGUCCUUGGCACUGCAGUCGUCAUGCUGCAGCAGCGCGGUGGCAAGCCUCGGGGAGCUCGACGACGAGCUGGUGUCUGAGCUGCCCAAGAACCUCCACAAAGAGAAUUGAAGAAGAAACAACUACAUACACGCAGAAGACGAUAUGAACCUAUGUGGGGUCAGCAUGAGCAUGAACAUGUGUGUUAUCUGAACAUGUGUGUUCUGGAACCACGCUUCCACCUGCCUAGCGCUGAGAUCCACUUGUUGUGCGAGCUGCUUCCAACUGCUGCUUCCAAUCUGUAAGUAGGGCUUCAUCCUGUAAAUUAAAUUCUUUAGGUCAGAAAAUAUUAUUAAUAACAACCAAAUGAGUGUGACAAUAGAUAUAAUCACCUGUGGAAGCUAGAUCAAAAUUUUGUUUGGGAAAAGUUUAUUUAGAUGUUUCAUUGUUUUCGGACUUUCUUUGCUUCUUUCAUGCAACCUGCUACCAAAGCUAUCCUGCAUUUUCAAAAAUCAUAUUAAAUUAAAACAGUGCAAAUCAGGGAAAUAAAGUCAAUAUCAUGGUUCAUCAAAUUACCAAAAUUUUAAACAUGUACAUACAAAAAAAACCAAGAAUAAAGAGUAAGAUAAGGACUUUUUAUCGGGAAAAGGUCAAAAAGAGUCUGGCUACUACUGGCAAACUUCGUGAAAAGAAAACCUCCAGGAUGUGCCUGCAAGAAGCACUUCACCCAUCUUAGCAAACUUUUGCUAUAAUUGGAGGUAACAUGAGAACCCCAGGUGUGGGAAAUGGAAAAUAACAGCAAUGCAAGGAAAAAAUAAAUAACUCAGCCUUGUACAUAUUUAUAAAUCAUCUGUGUUGCCUUUCCCAUUUGCUCCUAGAGGCACAUUGCCCAUACACCAAUCAUCUGUGCCAAAGGAAUACGAUAGCAGCACAAUCAGUUCAUGAAUCUCAUUAAUGUCUUGUUGGUUUGGAAAAAAGAGAGCACAUCAUAUGAUUGCAACUCUAUACUUGAAACAUAGACUUCAUUACUAAAUCAUGAUUAAAGCUCAGUGCAAUGUUAUUCACAAUAGUGGUGACAAUAAUUGAUUAGUAAGCACCAGUUUUACCUCUCCAAACAUCUAGCUCACCUCCGACGAGGUGAUGAAAUCCCCUAAUUCCUAAACAUGUGUUACAUGUCCACCAGCUACGAUCAUGAGGACAUGGUAAUGGCAAUUACUAUUUUGAACAACAAAAAUUGUUGCAUAAAUAAGAGUUGCAAAAGAAGUUGGUCCUGCACAUAGUUGAACCAAAGAAUAAAAAGUACAUAACCAAAAUAUGUUCUGUUACUAAUGUUACUGGCCACUAAUAUUUUUCUAUGAGUUUAAAGACUGCACAAAUAGGCUACAAUAAAGAAGUAUUCAGGAACUUAAGGGAUUCAUAGAGAAUUCAUGCAAGUAAACUAAUUCAAAUAAAUCAUGUUUCAAAGAGAAUUCAUGCAAGUUUUAAACAAGUCUAAUACACAUUACAGUUUUGCACAGGUUUCGCCUCAUCCUGUUUACAGAAAAGGAUCCUAUUUUCUAUCUCUGUGAUUAAAUUAAUGAUAUGAAAAUGGAGAAAACAUUAAUGUAAGAGUUCAGGGUUAUUAAGCAUUGAAUGGAUCAACUAAAGAUAUGUUACUUGUUGGCUUAAACACCUGAUGUAGUUCUUGCUAAAUUUCUCAAAACAAAUUGAGAAUUUCUCAAAAACAAAUUGAGCCCGCGAAGAUGCUUGGUUGCCCCCACCUGUAACUGUAUUUUCUGGUUUGUCAACCAUUUCCUAUUGCAGUCAAUUUCACACAAGAAUUUGAAAACCUAUAGAACCCUAGCAUGACAAAUAAGGAAAAUGGCAAGCUGCUUCUCAUGUUUUUUCUCCUUGUAACCUCUCAGCACUACUUUCUUGAGGUGAUGGCUGAGGCACUCUAUGCGAACUUCUAAUCCAUCAUGGUAACUUCUGUGCAGGCUAUUCAGUAACAAACCAUAGAGAUAAGGACAACCGAAAUCAAAAAAGAUGGUUCAUUAAUCCAAACACUCAUUAAUGUAUACCAGAGAAACAUGGAAUAAUGCGUGGAUUAGAAGCCGACAAGAAAGAAAACUUAUCAGUCUUUCACUUGUGCCUCUCCAGCCCCAUGCCUAUCUUCUGUUAAGAAGGAUGCAGUCCUGUCAUCAUUUCCCCUUCUCAUCCCACAACUUUUUAAAAUUUUCAAUAUCACCACUUCUCACAUGAUUCUACCACACGCUCAAAACCUUGCAACAGAAAUACUCAUGCACAACCCAAGAGUAUUGAUGAGUGAAAUACAUCUAUAAAUCUCUCGUAUGCUAGUAAUUUGACAGUAUCCAGGAUCAGCGUGCCUCUAUAUUGUGUCCCUCGCUCUGUCCUUCACUCAUCAAUACUCUUGGGUAGCUACAGUAUCCUGAUGUUGCUACACCACAAUAAUUGUUAGGACAGUAGAUUACAAGAUGAGAAAAAUAAUAUUUAGAUGGCACCUGCGAUUUUGAGCGUGUGGAAGUGUGCUGUUUUGCUAGGAGAUAGAAUCAUGUGAGAAGUGGUGAUAUUGAAAAUUUUAAAAAGUUGUGGGAUGAGAAGGGGAAAUGAUGACAGGACUGCAUCCUUCUUAACAGAAGAUAGGCAUGGGGCUGGAGAGGCACAAGUGAAAGACUGAUAUGCCUGAAGAUGCAACUGCUCUCACAUAAUCUGUACAUGAACUGAUGAUUUCUCUCUGUUGCCAAUUGGUGUAGACUCUGCAUACCUUGUGUCGGUGUUUUGGGUCCGACCGCACACCCGGGGUUGCCCCUCAAGGUGUUUUUAGGAGUAGGACGGUGUCAACGACUGUAGCAAAAUGGUUCGUGUCGAUCGCACGAGGGACAAUGGACAAGAUUUGCAGGUUCGGGCCGCUUAGAAGUGCGUAACACCCUACGUCCUGGUGAGUAUAUGAGCGUGGUUACAAAAGGGUUCUCUGAUAGAGGGCGCAGAGAGUUUUACGUGGGUGGCUAUGUCAAACAGGGUCGAUCGUUCUGAAGGGGUGCCCCCUAGGCCUUAUAUACUCGACCGUGGGGCAGUACAUGUGGAUAUGAUAGCUACAAGUAGCUGAAAGAUAGUAAACCUCUCGAGUUUAUCCCUACGUAACCCUUGCCGACUUAUCCUCGCAUGGCUCUGUUGCAUGGGGGCUUCAGCGCGGGAAAGUCGGGUCUCUGUUGCGAUUUACUCGCUCGACGUUGUGGGCCGUCUGGGUUUGCUCCAAUCUAGUCUUACGUCUUCUCCGCUUCGUUGAUUGUCUUUCCCCAGGCCCACGAAAGAACGACCUUACGAUUUAUUGGGCCUUUUGGGCCUUUCGUGAGGUAUUUUAUUUCUUUAGUGGACCCGGGGGAUAUCUAUCCCCCACAAGCCCCCGAUCUUUGGGUUGAUUUAGAGGUAAUCAACUCAAAGAUCCAAGGUCCGAAAAAUGACUUCCUGUUGUCUUCUCUUGCUCCGAUCACUCAUUCGACCGAAGUUUAGUUUUGUGCUUGUGCCUUAGAGGUCGGCAUUUUGAAUUGUAGGAUUCUGGACUUUAUUGGGUGCACCGGAGGUGCACCCAAUGGGUGUAGCCCUCGACCUUUGAGUAGAUUUUAGAAGAUAAUCUACUCGAAGGUCUUCCCCAAAGAUUAUCUCCAUUCACGCUCCUGCAUCUCGGUUGAGAAUUGGCCUUUUCAAUCUUGUCCCACGCCUUAGAAGUCGGCGCUAUAUCGGUUUAGAAUGAUAAUCCAUGGGGUGCACCGGAGGUGCACCCAAUGGGUGUCGCCCCCGACCUUCAAAUGGAUUUUUUAAGGAUAAUCCAUUCGAAGGUCUUCCUUUCGUGCCUCUUUGCUGAAAAUCAUCUCUUUCGUUUGUAGAAUUUGGCAUGAAGUUAUUUGCGUUAUGCUUUGGAGGUCAGCAUUAUGUCAUCAAUAUUUUGCUGCAGAGGUCAGCAUAUAUUUUGUCUUUAGCAGCCGAGUUUGCAAUCCAUCCAUAUCUUGUUAGGUAGUGCAAUUUAUUUGCUUCUGCGACUGAUUGGACGUUUGAUGGAUGUUCUCUGUCUAGUCAUUGCAUCGCUUCUGUCGGCCACAUCUUGUACUUUGCUGGCUAUAUUUGGCUUUCCUCUGAUCCUUACUGGUAUCUCAUUUUUGUCUUGAGGUAUUCACUGCGUGCUCUGCACGGAUGUGACCGUUUUGAAAAAUAUACUGAUAAUUCCUGGGUGUCCCCCCCCAAUGGGUGUGGGCAAGGGACGGCUUGGUGCGCUGAGUGUUUUAGCCGGCUGCUUCUGAGUAGUAAUGUGAUGGGACGGCUAGUGUAAUCAUAUCCUUUGUGCUGUUGACUGGAGUCCCAAUGGGUGUAGUGUUGCAUGAAACGGCGUCAGCCGUCUGACGUGUCUUCAGAUGGGUGGGAGUGCUUAUUGAAUGCUUUGCGACUGUUCAGUGACCGCGGUUGGAAGUGAGCGGUUGCCUUUCCCUUCUAUAAAUAACGCACUUGCUCCUCUGGUUUUUUUUUACAUCUCUUCGCCGUUCUUUACUGCAUCCUUCUCCUCCCUUCUAUCUGCUUUCGCCAUGGGCAAGGGUCACAAACGCAAGCGUGAGCCGACUCCUCCAUCGGAGGAUUUUGGCGACUCGGAAUACUCGGAGGAGGAAUUCUCCUCCGAGUCCGAGGGAUCUCCGGCUCCCGUCUCUCCCCCGGCGUCGUCUGAUGAUUCAGACGACUCCCAGGGGAUUGCCGCGGAGGUAUGGACGUACAUCCGGGCCAUCGAGCGCUCCGGGCUCGAGGGCUCGGAUGAGUCCGAGUUCUCCUCGGACGAGGAGGACUCGGACGGCGGCGAGGACGAAGAUGACGACGACGACGACGACGGCGACGACGACGACGGUGGCGACGGCGACGGUGACGGCAGCUACGGCGGCGGGGGCAGCGGCGGCAAGGGCAGCACCAGAGGCGGCAGCAGCACGGGCAGCACCAGGGGCGGCGGCGGCAAGGGCAGCAGCAGCAAGGCCAGUGGCUAAACGCCACUGGUCUUUAGAUAUUAGUAUAGUGUAGUUAGAAUAAUGUAGUAGUAAUGUAGAGUAGUAUAGUGUAGUUUAGUAGUAGUAGUAAUGUAGAGUAGAAGUAGGGAAGCACCAACUCGCGAAGAGUUGGUUUGUAAUUUCAUUAACUUCCCCUUAAUGAAGAACUGUCGUUUACCCCCCUUUUCGAUGACUCGGUGUUGCUUUUUCUGAAUGUUGAACUGUUUCUUUUGAUAUAGUAGAAACAACGUCGAGCGAUGUGAAGGUUGACAUCAGCGUUUUUAGAAGUAACACCAAACAGUCGAACACAAGACCAGCGUUUUAGAGGCAACGCCGAAUGAUAGAAGGUCGGCGUCGGCAUUUUAGAAGUAAUGCCGAGCGAUAGAAUACGAGUUUGGCGUUUUUUAGAGGCAACGCCGAGUGUUUAAAGGUCGACAUCGGCAUUUUAGAAGUAACGCCGAGCGAUUGAACACGUGGUCGGUGUCGGCAUUUUAGAAGUAAUGCCGAGCGAUAGAAUACGAGUUUGGCGUUUUAGAGGCAACGCCGAGUGUUUAAAGGUCGACAUCGGCAUUUUAGAAGUAACGCCGAGCGACAGAAUUUGAGGUCGGCGUUUUAGAAGCAACGCCGAGUGAUUGAAGGUUGACACCGGCAUUUUAGAAGUAAUGCCGAGUGAUUGAACACGAGGUCAGCGUUUUAGAGGCAACGCCGAGUGAUUGAAGGUUGACGCUGGCAUUUUAGAAGUAAUGCCGAGCGAUUGAACACGACGUCAGCGUUUUAGAGGCAACGCCGAGUGAUUGAAGGUUGACACCGGUAUUUUAGAAGUAAUGCCGAGCGAUUGAACACGAGGUCAGCGUUUUAGAGGCAACGCCGAGUGAUUGAAGGUUGAUGCUGGCAUUUUAGAAGUAAUGCCGAGCGAUUGAACACGAGGUCAGCGUUUUAGAGGCAACGCCGAGUGAUUGAAGGUUGACGCCGGCAUUUUUAGAAGUAAUGCCGAGCGAUUGAACACGAGGUCAGCGUUUUAGAGGCAACGCCGAGUGAUAGCCAGCCUCAUGAGUUAUUUUGAGGAUAAUAACCGAGUGAUGAAGUGGCACGUCGGUUUUCUUAGAAAUAACUGUCGGAUGUCCACGUGGCAUGCUGGGGUUUCGGAAAUAACCGCCGGGUGAUGACUGGGCACUUUUUGAAUGAGUAUCUGGCUCAAGAAUAUCCCAUAAGAGUUGCGCUUUUAGCCGCCUUUGCUUUCCGUGCCCUAGUUCUUGCAUUCCCGCAUCUGAAUCUCCUCUGCCACUCGCCUCCUACCCUGCCCGCCAGUGAGAAGCAAGAUGGCGCCCAAGAGAAAAACUGCAAACUCGUCUGCUGCGGUGAUCCCCGCAAUCGACCCCAACAGUCAGUUACCUUUCGCAGGUAACCACAUGUCCGUUAUUUCCGAAACUGAUCUUCUCCGUCUUGUCUCCAUUGGGGUUCUUCCUCCGCGGGAACUCUGUUCUUGGCGGAUUUGCCAUGGGACUACUGUCCCAACCGAAGAUACCCAUGAGUCAGUAGUUUAUGCUCCUUUUCUUCUCCGCGGCCUCGGCCUUCCAAUCUCUCCUUUUUUCCGUGGCCUUCUUGACUUUUAUCAUAUCAACUUGACCCACUUGAACCCUAAUUCCAUUCUCCAAAUCUCCAUUUUCGUUCACCUAUGCGAAGCCUACCUCGGUGUGCUGCCACAUUUUGGUUUAUGGAAGUAUAUGUAUCACUGCCGCCCUGGAAUGGCUGGGGGGCAACAUCAGCUGGUCGGAGGUGCUAGUUUGGAGAUGCGCCGUGGGCGGAAGACCGAGUAUCUUGAGAUUCCCCUCAAAGAUAGCAUUAAAGGGUGGCGUCUGGAGUGGUUUAUAGUUGACAAUUAUGGAAAUUCUCUCCCUUCCCGGUCAGGAAGACAGCCAGACGUUCGCACUCCGAGUUGGACUGAGUCUCCCACAGAUCAGGAAGUUGCCGAGGCAGGUGUGUUGCUUACCGAAGUUAGAUUACUGAAAGAGAGAGGUUUGACUGCCGAAGCUGUGGUCACUGAUUUUGUUUUCAAGAACAUUCAGCCACUGAAAGACAGGGCCUAUCCAGCAUAUCUGUAUCAAGGGCUGGCCGACUCAACUCGGGUUACCAAUAAGAGAAUUCCUUCUGUUGACUUGGUAAACCGACUUGAAACGAUCCUCAGGGGUAAAGUUUCGAAUGUUGGUGCUCCAGUGGCAUACUCGGCUUGGAACCUACCUCCUCCCAAAGCUUUCAUCCUUUUUGUGUCCAAUCCGCCUGUGACUGACAGCAAUUUGGGUCUUAGAGUGUGACCCUCUGCUGAGGAAGUCAGUACUUUGGUUGCUUCGCUCGGGGCAAUUCCUGAUGAUGAACGGCAGGUUUAUUUUGAAGUGCCUCUGAACCCCAGUGAUGCUGACAUAAAUGAUAUGCUGGAUCUAUUAGCUGAGGAUUCGUCCGAUGCUGCUCCUGAUGGUACCUUGGCAGUGGUGCCCCUUCCAGAGAUUGAUACAACUUUGGAUGUCCCGAAACCUGUCAGCACUCGUCCAAAGCGCCCUAGCCGAGCCAGUCAGCCCGAGCCUUCUGCUGAUGAGCAAAAGAAAAAGAGAAGACGCCUCCGGCGAGUAUCCAGCUUUGAUGAAGACGCCGGUACCUUAGCUCCUGCUGCUGAAGGAGUGCCUGCAACCGGCCUUACCGACGCUGACCCCAAUGGGUGCGCUGCUUGCAUUGUUACUGUGGAAGAUGAGGAGGAAGAAGAUGAAGUUCCUUUAACUCGGAAAAACAGUCGGCAGUUCAUCGCCAGUGGUGGAAGUAGUGGAGUUCCUUCUCCUGCUUUGUCUGCCCUUAUUGGUCUGCAAGAACUGUCCCUGGCCAACUUUGAGCAAACUCUGGAGGAUAUGGUCCCAGAGGACUUGUUAUCAGAGCCUGUGGAUGUUGACGCAACUGAGAUCUGCGCUGCCAUGCCUGAUGCUGGGCUGAGGUCGUCCCGUGCCUCGUCGACCUUAGAGCGCGAUCUCGAGGGUCAGGAUGCUGACUUGGAUUGUCCUGGUCCCAUGGAAGUGGCUGAGGGCCUGUCAACCUUAGAGGUGGUUACUGCAGAGAGCAUGGGCCCCAAGAAUGGUGCUGACACAUGCCCAGCCCCCGAGGAUGUCGCCAGGGAUGGCUUAGCUCGGGCGAAGAAUGUAAGCCACUGCCCAGCCCCCGAGGGUGUUGCCGGGGAUGAUCCGGCUCAAGUGGGCAGUGCCAACUGUGUCCCAGCCCCCGAGGGUGCCCGAGCAGGGUCUCCUUCCUGCACUUCCAUGGACGUUCAUGCGGGUUCGCCUCCACACUCUGGCUGCAUGGUUGUAGCCCAAACUCCGGACCUGGGAGUCGCUUUAGAGGGCAGCGUCCCCGCUGAUCUGGCAUCUGGCUCUGUUGAAGGCACUGAGCUGAUUCCUACUGGUCCGUUGCAAGCUACUUCGGAUGGUGGUCUUGCACCUGGUUAUGAGCUGAUCUCUCCUGAUUUGGGGAUCUCUUCGUUCUUUUCCAACCUCCAGGUACUGUGCUGUGCUUUUAGCUUAAUCUUUACGUUGCAUGAAUUUUUGUCAUUAUGCUCAUCCGUUCUUCUCAUCAGGCUUUGGUUGAUGGGAUGGCCAGCCAGCUGAGAUCGCAGGGUGCUUUCAUCCCAGAAGUGGCUUCAUCUCUUGAGCGUUGGAAUCCGGUGUCGCUUCAUUGUCGUGUAUCCGAGUUGGAGGCAACUAACGCUGGUUAGUGCUCUUAUUCUUCUUCCUUGCCUUUAUUCGUAGAUUGUUUUACCUUCUGACCUCCUUUCGUUUGAUUACCUCUUGAUAGGAAUGACUCGGCAGAUUGUAGCCCUUGAAGAGAAACAUUCCCGAAAUCGAACUGAGAUGGCUCAACGGUGUGCUGACUUCAAAGAGAAGUAUUAUCAGAGCCAGACUGAACUGAAUCAGGUCUCCGCUGCUUUGGAUGACGCCAAUGCUCUGAGCUCUUCCCUUCAUGCUCGGCUUGACUCUGAAAAGGUAACUUACAAAACCGUGCUUUGCCUUAUUACAUGCUUGGAUUCUGAAUGAGUUGAUUUUUGUUUGUAGGAAGAAAAACGUAUCCUUGCUGCUUCCCGUGACAAUCUGGACAGACUAUAUCGUGACUCUAGCAACUCGCUGACCAUCUUGGAGAGGAGCCACCGCUUCACAAUGGAGGAACUGGACAAUCAGCGUUGUAGGCUGCAAGAAUCUGUGGACGAAGUGACCCGCCUUAAGCAAUUGAUGUCAGCGAAGGAUGCCACUGUCAAGGAACUCCGAGCUUCCAGGAAAACCAUUGCCCAGGAGUUGGAGGUUGCUCAGCUGGCCGCUAAAGUUGCCGAAGAAACUGCCGCUACUCUCAGAGCCCAGCGCGAUAAAGCCAUGGACAAGGCUAUUCGUGCUGGACGAAUCUUGAUGAGAAGACCCGGCGUGGUUGUUCCUGAAGACAUAAAGGCUGAUGUGAAUGCUACCCCCGAUUCCUCGAAUCGCCCUUCUUCGUCGGUCGUUCCUGAGAAAAAUAUUGAAAAAUAGGGAAACAUUUUGCAUGCUCUGAGCGCGCAGUUAGCUUGAUCAAACAUUCGUUAGAAGACAUCAGCUUAUCAUUCGAAUGAUAUGAUUACUCCCUUAUUGUAUCAGAAUUUGUUAGUUCGUAGAUUUGUGGUAAUGCUGCGUGAUGAUUAUGAAAUUUGUUCGUGGGAUAUGGAAAUCAUCCCUUGCAUUAUAUAGGUGUGAGUAUGCUGCAUCGGCUUAAGCUACCGCCAACUUUAGCCGAUAGCUCCGUUAGUAGGGUAUAGUGGUCACCCUGAGUUGAGUAAGCGUGAGCAUGUUGCACCGCCUUAAGUCGUCGCCGACUUAAGUCGAUUGCUCCGUUUGUAGGGCAUAGUGGUCACCCCGAGUUAAGUAAGCGUGAGCAUGUUGCACCGCCUUAAGUCAUUGCCGACUUAAGUCGAUUGCUCCGUUUGUAGGGCAUAGUGGUCACCCCGAGUUAAGUAAGCGUGAGCAUGUUGCACCGCCUUAAGUCGUUGCCGACUUAAGUCGAUUGCUCCGUUUGUAGGGCAUAGUGGUCACCCCGAGUUAAGUAAGCGUGAGCAUGUUGCACCGCCUUAAGUCGUUGCCGACUUAAGUCGAUUGCUCCGUUUGUAGGGCAUAGUGGUCACCCCGAGUUAAGUAAGUGUGAGCAUGUUGCACCGCCUUAAGUCGUUGCCGACUUAAGUCGAUUGCUCCGUUUGUAGGGCAUAGUGGUCACCCCGAGUUAAGUAAGAAUGCAAGUCAAUCGUAAACGAACCGAGUAUCUUUGAAAUCUAUCUUUAUUGAUGACAUAUUUCCACUUUACAGAGUACAUGGUCGCCCCGGCUGUUUUGAAAUACAGCUAGGGGUAAAACUUUUUCUGAGGUGCUCUAUGUUCCAGGAGUUCCCAACUUCUGUGCCAUCCAUCUGAGUGAGACGAUACGAUCCGGGCCGAGUGACUUCUGAUACUAUGAAAGGCCCUUCCCAUAAGGGUGACAACUUGUGCCGUCCCUCCCCCGUUAGAAUUCGGCGGAGGACGAGGUCCCCUAUCGAAAAGGAACGUUGCCGCACAGCCUUGUCGUGAUAGCGCCUCAGAGUCUGCUGGUACCGUGCAGAUUGGAUCACCGCAUUCAGUCGUUCUUCCUCGAGUACAUCAAUAUCCUCCAGCCUGGUGGCCUCGGCUUCUGCUAUGCUUUCGAAGAUCAAUCUUGGCGCCCCGAAUUUGAGAUCAGCGGGCAGCACUGCCUCCGACCCAUAGACCAUGAAGAAAGGAGUGUUUCCAUGCAGGGCUCGGCUAGGUUGAGUUCUCAGGCUCCAAACAACAUAAGGCAGCUCUCUUAUCCACUUUCCUGCGAAUUUUUCAUUCUUAUCGAAGACUCUUUUCCUGAGUGCCUCCAGUAUCAUUCCGUUGGCUCGCUCAACCUGCCCGUUGGCUCUUGGAUGUGCUACAGAUGCGUACUUGAUCUGAAUGCUUUUUUGCUCGCAGAAGUCAAAGAAUUCUGAGCUGGUGAAGUUGGAUCCUAAGUCAGUGAUGAUGCUGUUUGGUAUCCCGAAUCUGAAUAUUAUAUCCUGUAUGAAUUCCACGGCCUUAGCAGAGGUCAAAGAAGCAAUGGGCUUGAACUCUAUCCAUUUAGUGAAUUUGUCAAUCGCCACCAGUACAUGAGUAUAUCCCCCUUGAGCUUUCUUGAAAGGUCCAAUCAUAUCCAGUCCCCAGCAUGCGAAAGGCCAGGUUACUGGUAUGGUUUGCAGUUGCUGUGCAGGCAUAUGCUGUUGCUUUGACAAGUAUUGGCAAGCUUCGCAUCUCUGAACUAACUCGGCUGCAUCGCUCUUCGCCGUCGGCCAAUAGAAUCCUGACCUGAAAACCUUCCCGACCAGUGUUCUGGAUGCUGCAUGUAUUCCACAUUGCCCUGCAUGGACUUCCUCCAGAAGUUGUUUCCCGGUGGACGGAAGAACACACUUCAUGAGAACUCCUGAUGCUCCCCUUCUGUAUAAUUCCUCCCCAAUGAGUGUAUAGUGAGCUGAUUGUCUGGCAACGCGCUCUGCCGAGUUCUUGUCAUCUGGUUCUUCUUCAUUCUUUAUAUACUUAAUAAUCGGUUGUCUCCAGUCAUCAGAGUCUGACUUGGGUUGAUCUAUGAUGUUGCACUCUUCUGUUUGAUCCGUCGAGAUGCUCGGCUCGAGAAUUUCUUGCACGAAGACCCCGGGUGGGACCUGAGUCCGACCGGAUCCGAGCUUGGACAGUACAUCGGCCGCCGUGUUCCGAUCUCUUUCUAUAUGAUGAAACUCCAGACCCUCGAAUUUAUCCUCUAGCUUUCGGACGGCGGCGCAGUAUUUUCCCAUUGAAUCACUUGAACAAUCCCAUUCCUUGUUUAUCUGACUGAUGACUACCAGAGAAUCUCCAUACACCAUCAGUCUCUUGACGCCCAAUGAUAUGGCGAUGUUUAAUCCGUGUAUCAAAGCUUCAUACUCGGCUGCGUUGUUAGAGGCCGGGAAUAGCAACUGGAGAGCAUACUUGAGGUGCUCGCCUCCAGGUGCGGUGAAGAGAAUCCUUGCUCCUGCUCCCUGCAGCUUCAGCGAGCCAUCAAAAUACAUUCGCCAUACUUCUGACGUUUCUGGAUUGUCUGGAACUUGCUAUUCUGUCCACUCUGAUACGAAAUCAACCAGUGCUUGAGUCUUGAUGGCAGUGCGAGGUCGGAACUCGAUAUCAUGGGAUCCCAACUCGCAAGCCCACUUGGCUA
This 20767-nucleotide long non-coding RNA is filed under the name Zea mays. Its description in RNAcentral is "long non-coding RNA (ZMAY_LNC003993)". Lineage: Eukaryota; Viridiplantae; Streptophyta; Magnoliopsida; Poales; Poaceae. The record is from RNAcentral.